AAGGCCGAUGGCGACCGGCGCACGGUGUGAGUAACACGUAUCCAACCUGCCGUCUACUCUUGGACAGCCUUCUGAAAGGAAGAUUAAUACAAGAUGGCAUCAUGAGUCCGCAUGUUCACAUGAUUAAAGGUAUUCCGGUAGACGAUGGGGAUGCGUUCCAUUAGAUAGUAGGCGGGGUAACGGCCCACCUAGUCUUCGAUGGAUAGGGGUUCUGAGAGGAAGGUCCCCCACAUUGGAACUGAGACACGGUCCAAACUCCUACGGGAGGCAGCAGUGAGGAAUAUUGGUCAAUGGGCGCAGGCCUGAACCAGCCAAGUAGCGUGAAGGAUGACUGCCCUAUGGGUUGUAAACUUCUUUUAUAAAGGAAUAAAGUCGGGUAUGUAUACCCGUUUGCAUGUACUUUAUGAAUAAGGAUCGGCUAACUCCGUGCCAGCAGCCGCGGUAAUACGGAGGAUCCGAGCGUUAUCCGGAUUUAUUGGGUUUAAAGGGAGCGUAGAUGGAUGUUUAAGUCAGUUGUGAAAGUUUGCGGCUCAACCGUAAAAUUGCAGUUGAUACUGGAUAUCUUGAGU
This 569-nucleotide ribosomal RNA is filed under the name uncultured Bacteroidales bacterium. Its description in RNAcentral is "bacterial SSU rRNA". It matches the Rfam family "Bacterial small subunit ribosomal RNA", at positions 81 to 647 of the family's 1533-position model. Lineage: Bacteria; Pseudomonadati; Bacteroidota; Bacteroidia; Bacteroidales. The record is from RNAcentral.